This 433-nucleotide ribosomal RNA is filed under the name uncultured bacterium. Its description in RNAcentral is "partial 16S ribosomal RNA". It matches the Rfam family "Bacterial small subunit ribosomal RNA", at positions 29 to 507 of the family's 1533-position model. The record is from RNAcentral.
AACGAACGCUGGCGGCAUGCCUAACACAUGCAAGUCGAACGAGACCUUCGGGUCUAGUGGCGCACGGGUGCGUAACGCGUGGGAACCCGCCCUUAGGUUCGGAAUAACUCCCCGAAAGGGGUGCUAAUACCGGAUAAUGUCUUCGGACCAAAGAUUUAUCGCCUUUGGAUGGGCCCGCGUUGGAUUAGCUAGUUGGUAGGGUAAAAGCCUACCAAGGCGACGAUCCAUAGCUGGUCUGAGAGGAUGAUCAGCCACACUGGGACUGGGACACGGCCCAGACUCCUACGGGAGGCAGCAGUGGGGAAUAUUGGACAAUGGGCGAAAGCCUGAUCCAGCAAUGCCGCGUGAGUGAUGAAGGCCUUAGGGUUGUAAAGCUCUUUUACCCGGGAUGAUAAUGACAGUACCGGGAGAAUAAGCUCCGGCUAACUCCGUG